GGGGGGGGGGGGGGGGGGGGGGGGGGCGUGCGGGGCGGGCGGGGGGGCGGGGGGGGUGCUGGGCGGCCGUUGGGGGCGGGGGGGGGAGUAAGCCGUGGAGAACCUACCUGUAAGACUGGGCUACUCUGGGGGCACCGGAGCGACUACGCGAUGAUCUCUUCAACCGUCUGGUUCCAUAUUGACAGACGGCUGUGCUGUUACGUCUCGCUGGUGCCUCGCCGCGUGCGUUGGUUGGUCAGGUAACGGCUUACCAAGGCCACGCUGCGUAGCCGCACUGAGAGGGUGAUCGGCCACACUGGAACUGAGACACGGUCAAGACGCCGACGGGAGGCAGCAGUAGGGAAUCUUCCGCAAUGGGCGAAAGCCUGACGGAGCAACGCCGCGUGAGUGAUGAAGGUCUUCGGAUCGUAAAGCUCUGUUAUUAGGGAAGAACAAAUGUGUAAGUAACUAUGCACGGCGUGACGGUACCUAAUCAGAAAGCCACGGCUAACUACGUG
This 497-nucleotide ribosomal RNA is filed under the name uncultured bacterium. Its description in RNAcentral is "partial 16S ribosomal RNA". It matches the Rfam family "Bacterial small subunit ribosomal RNA", at positions 38 to 507 of the family's 1533-position model. The record is from RNAcentral.